Molecule: ribosomal RNA, 468 nt
Filed under: Bacillus sp. (in: firmicutes)
Lineage: Bacteria; Bacillati; Bacillota; Bacilli; Caryophanales; Bacillaceae
Description: bacterial SSU rRNA
Rfam family: Bacterial small subunit ribosomal RNA
Source: RNAcentral
AUAACUCCGGGAAACCGGGGCUAAUACCGGAUAAUAUUUUGAACUGCAUGGUUCGAAAUUGAAAGGCGGCUUCGGCUGUCACUUAUGGAUGGACCCGCGUCGCAUUAGCUAGUUGGUGAGGUAACGGCUCACCAAGGCAACGAUGCGUAGCCGACCUGAGAGGGUGAUCGGCCACACUGGGACUGAGACACGGCCCAGACUCCUACGGGAGGCAGCAGUAGGGAAUCUUCCGCAAUGGACGAAAGUCUGACGGAGCAACGCCGCGUGAGUGAUGAAGGCUUUCGGGUCGUAAAACUCUGUUGUUAGGGAAGAACAAGUGCUAGUUGAAUAAGCUGGCACCUUGACGGUACCUAACCAGAAAGCCACGGCUAACUACGUGCCAGCAGCCGCGGUAAUACGUAGGUGGCAAGCGUUAUCCGGAAUUAUUGGGCGUAAAGCGCGCGCAGGUGGUUUCUUAAGUCUGAUGUG